Molecule: ribosomal RNA, 269 nt
Filed under: uncultured prokaryote
Description: partial 16S ribosomal RNA
Rfam family: Bacterial small subunit ribosomal RNA
Source: RNAcentral
GACGGAGGAGGCAAGCAUUGUCCGGAAUUAUUGGACGUAAAGAACACGUAGGCGGUUUGCCAAGUCAUAUGUGAAAACCUUGGGCUUAACUUAAGGAUUGCAUAUGAUACUGGUAAACUAGAGUAUAGUAGAGGAAAGCGGAAUUCCUGGUGUAGCGGUGAAAUGCGCAGAUAUCAGGAAGAACACCAGUGGCGAAAGCGGCUUUCUGGACUGUUACUGACGCUGAGGUGCGAAAGCUGGGGUAGCGAACCGGAUUAGAUACCCUGGUA